Molecule: long non-coding RNA, 580 nt
Organism: Priapulus caudatus
Lineage: Eukaryota; Metazoa; Priapulida; Priapulimorpha; Priapulimorphida; Priapulidae
Exons: 2
Source: RefSeq, a predicted model, not a curated record
UUUUACAGACCUAGCUGAGACCGUACACUCCAGCUGAUCCACUCAAGUUGCGGAGCUCUUCACUCCGUCGUACAUCCAAGCAUUGCAUUUAUCCGGUGACCAGACCCAGGGUCAACUUUGCACAGUGACAAAGCCAUGGCCAGAAGGUGGAAUGGACGCAUGAUCGCUGACGUUCUUCACAAGACCGUCGUCUCUGGUCUCAUGGGACUCACUGUUGUGUGCAGUGGAAUGAUUGCUUAUCAGACAUACCAGUAUUUCGCCUACGUUCGGCCGGAGAGAGAGCGUUUAGCCAAGCUCAAGGAUAAGGAACUGCUGGAACACGACGCAGAAGAGCUAACCGCGUAGCGAUGAUCAGAGAUCAUCUGCAUCGUUGGACCGUUCGUAAUAUGACGAGUGUAGUGGCUACGAGAAAUCCAGUAGAACAUCGAUAGUGAAGUAAUGUAUUGGCCAAGUACUGAACAAGAGUCUACAGGCUGUGUAUAUUUGAUGUGUCGCACGCAGUUGAUAAAUUGCGUUGUCGAAUAUAGUGCUAAUUAUACGAGAAUAAAAUUUUCGAUACAAUAAAAACCUGAAAUCAGAA